GUCCUCCGAAACGCAACCCAACCAAGCCGCACUGCUUCUUGACACAAUGCCCGCUUAACCUGGAAGCCAGCUGCACCAAUGUGUCGGAGGAAACACUGUGCACCUGACGACCGUGUUAACGUGCACUGCGCCCUAACUUGCACUGCGAACAUCCCUGCUGGCCAAACCCUCCACUAACCCGGACGACGCUGAGCCAAUUGUAUGCCGUCCCAUGGGUCUCCCGGUCGCAGCAGGCUGCGACAGAAACUGGACUCGAACCCAGGAUCUCUAGUGGCACAGCUACAGUAGCACUGCGAUGAUAUGAAGACAGUGCAACAGUUGACUCCGACACUUGAACUUGAGGUGCCGAGGCGGUCACUAAAGCCAAGGAGCAUGCUGGGAGAUUACAGUGUAUGUAAUCCAGAGAAUGAGGGUGCAUUCAUGUAGCGAGUUGGCUUGGCACACUUGUCGAAGUGUGAACAGUCCUAGCCCUUUCCUGCAGUCAAAUGACCUAGAGGCCUCAUGGGUGGAAUGUUAUUUAUAUUUUUCAUAAUUUCAUAAUGAAUAAACAUUUAUUCUUUCCGCUGACAAUCUGGUGUUUCUAUGUCAAACAAUUUCAGUCUUCUGUGAUGUAUAUAAAGUGAAAUAUUGGCAUGCAAACUCAAAAUUGAAUACAUUUCAACUAUCUGACAUGGUACAGGUAUCUUAUUUUAAUUAAGCCUGUAACCAUGUGUGGAAGGUGUAUACUUUUGUUUCAAAGUAGAUCUAUUUAAGACUACCAAUAAACACUCUGUGUGACCCUGAUUUCGCCCACUAAGUUAAUAUCCUAGUUCUUUUCCAAGGCACAACCUCCUUAUGGUAAACAUAUUCAAUCAUAAAUAUUAAAAUAUGUAUUGCAUUCAUACUCAUUAAAUGACACAUUUUCAACAAAUUUAGUUGGAUUUAAUUUUGCUUACAUCAACAUCGUGUAAUUAUUCAUUUGAAAGAUUGGAAGGAAAAUAUUAUUUAUAACAUAGGGGCUGUCACGUCCUGACCAGUAUUAGGGAUUAUUUGUAAUUGUAGUUUGGUCAGGACGUGGCAGAGGGUAUUUUGUUUAUGUGUUUCGGGGUGGUGGUUUAUUUAGUAGGGUGUUUGGUUAGUUAGUUCCGGGUUAUGUUCUGUGUUUGUAUAUCUAUGUCUAGUUAAUUGGGGUUGGACUCUCAAUUGGAGGCAGGUGUUUUCUAGUUGCCUCUGAUUGACAGUCCUAUAUAUGGGUAUGUGUUUGGUUUUGUGUUUUUGGGAGAUUGUUUCUUGUUUUGCUGUGUGUGCCUGACAAGACUGUCUAGUUCGUCUGUGUUUUUGUAUACGUGUUUAUUUUGGUUUUUUCCUUCUUUGUCUGUAAUAAAG
RNAcentral lists this long non-coding RNA (1365 nucleotides) under Salmo salar (Atlantic salmon). RNAcentral's name for it is "lncRNA (ENSSSAG00000093845.1)". Lineage: Eukaryota; Metazoa; Chordata; Actinopteri; Salmoniformes; Salmonidae. The record is from RNAcentral.